Molecule: small RNA, 536 nt
Filed under: Pongo abelii (Sumatran orangutan)
Lineage: Eukaryota; Metazoa; Chordata; Mammalia; Primates; Hominidae
Description: retained intron
Source: RNAcentral
GUUCUCAAUCAAGUUGAUUGGAAUGCCUGGCUCUACUCUCCUGGACUGCCUCCCAUAAAACCCAAUUAUGAUAUGACUCUGACAAAUGCUUGUAUUGCCUUAAGUCAAAGAUGGAUUACUGCCAAAGAAGAUGAUUUAAAUUCAUUCAAUGCCACAGACCUGAAAGAUCUCUCUUCUCAUCAGUUGAAUGAGUUUUUAGCACAGACGCUCCAGACGGCACCUCUUCCAUUGGGGCACAUAAAGCGAAUGCAAGAGGUGUACAACUUCAAUGCCAUUAACAAUUCUGAAAUACGAUUCAGGUACAUCAUUUUAACUUGUCUCUGUGGAAGAAAGCAGAAAACUCCUUUGAAAGGUGGAGAAAGGGAAUGCAGAGUAUGAGACGUACUUGAGUCUUGAGAAGUCCUUGUCAAACUGACUGCUUCUAUAUAAAUACUUAUAGUGGUAUUUAAGGAAUAGUUGCAUUGUGUAAUCUGAUAGUAUUAAUCUUUUUGUUAGACUUCGCUCUAAACCUCUCUUGCCUUAAAAGAAAAAAAAAA